CUGCCGGUGAUAAACCGGAGGAAGGUGGGGAUGACGUCAAGUCAUCAUGGCCCUUACGACCAGGGCUACACACGUGCUACAAUGGCGCAUACAAAGAGAAGCGACCUCGCGAGAGCAAGCGGACCUCAUAAAGUGCGUCGUAGUCCGGAUUGGAGUCUGCAACUCGACUCCAUGAAGUCGGAAUCGCUAGUAAUCGUGGAUCAGAAUGCCACGGUGAAUACGUUCCCGGGCCUUGUACACACCGCCCGUCACACCAUGGGAGUGGGUUGCAAAAGAAGUAGGUAGCUUAACCUUCGGGAGGGCGCUUACCACUUUGUGAUUCAUGACUGGGGUGAAGUCGUAACAAGGUAACCGUAGGGGAACCUGCG
Molecule: ribosomal RNA, 368 nt
Filed under: Cronobacter sakazakii
Lineage: Bacteria; Pseudomonadati; Pseudomonadota; Gammaproteobacteria; Enterobacterales; Enterobacteriaceae
Also listed under: 1 other name
Description: bacterial SSU rRNA
Rfam family: Bacterial small subunit ribosomal RNA
Source: RNAcentral